RNAcentral lists this transfer RNA (72 nucleotides) under Bigelowiella natans. RNAcentral describes it as "tRNA-Glu". It matches the Rfam family "tRNA". From Rfam's summary of the family: Transfer RNA (tRNA) molecules are approximately 80 nucleotides in length. Lineage: Eukaryota; Cercozoa; Chlorarachniophyceae. The record is from RNAcentral.
GCACCUCUCGUCUAGUGGUUAGGACAACCCUUUUUCAUGGGGUAAACACGGGUUCGAUUCCCGUGAGGCGCA